AAAUUCCUACGGGGCGCAGCAGUGGGGAAUAUUGGGCAAUGGGCGCAAGCCUGACCCAGCGACGCCGCGUGAGUGAAGGAGCGUUUCGGCGCGUAAAGCUCUAUCAGCAGGGAAGACAAACUGCCCCGGAAGGGGCAGCCGGACGGUACCUGACCAAGAAGCCCCGGCUAACUACGUGCCAGCAGCCGCGGUAAUACGUAGGGGGCAAGCGUUAUCCGGAUUUACUGGGUGGAAAGGGAGCGU
Molecule: ribosomal RNA, 243 nt
Filed under: uncultured bacterium
Lineage: Bacteria
Description: partial 16S ribosomal RNA
Rfam family: Bacterial small subunit ribosomal RNA
Source: RNAcentral